GUGGGGAAUAUUCCGCAAUGGACGAAAGUCUGACGGAGCAACGCCGCGUGAGUGAUGAAGGUUUUCGGACUGUAAAGCUCUGUUGUUCAGGACGAAAGUGCCUGUUGUGAACAGUUACAGGUAUUGACGGUACUGAACGAGGAAGCCACGGCUAACUACGUGCCAGCAGCCGCGGUAAUACGUAGGUGGCAAGCGUUGUCCGGAAUUAUUGGGCGUAAAGAGCAUGUAGGCGGGAAUCUAAGUCUGUUGUGAAAAUGCGGGGCUCAACCCCGUAUGGCGAUGGAAACUGGAUUUCUUGAGUGCAGGAGAGGAAAGGGGAAUUCCCAGUGUAGCGGUGAAAUGCGUAGAUAUUGGGAGGAACACCAGUGGCGAAGGCGCCUUUCUGGACUGUGUCUGACGCUGAGAUGCGAAAGCCAGGGUAGCGAACGGGAUUAGAUACCCGGGUAGUCC
RNAcentral lists this ribosomal RNA (450 nucleotides) under uncultured bacterium. RNAcentral describes it as "partial 16S ribosomal RNA". It matches the Rfam family "Bacterial small subunit ribosomal RNA", at positions 354 to 796 of the family's 1533-position model. The record is from RNAcentral.